RNAcentral lists this ribosomal RNA (450 nucleotides) under uncultured bacterium. RNAcentral's name for it is "partial 16S ribosomal RNA". It matches the Rfam family "Bacterial small subunit ribosomal RNA", at positions 338 to 795 of the family's 1533-position model. The record is from RNAcentral.
CCUACGGGGGGCUGCAGUGGGGAAUUUUGGACAAUGGGGGCAACCCUGAUCCAGCCAUGCCGCGUGCGGGAAGAAGGCCUUCGGGUUGUAAACCGCUUUUGUCAGGGAAGAAAUCUUCCGAGCUAAUACCUUGGGAGGAUGACGGUACCUGAAGAAUAAGCACCGGCUAACUACGUGCCAGCAGCCGCGGUAAUACGUAGGGUGCAAGCGUUAAUCGGAAUUUGCGGGCGCAAAGGUGGAACAGAGGUGUGAAAUCCCCGGGCUUAACCUGGGAACGGCACUUGGGACUGUACGGCUGGAGUACGGCAGAGGGGGAUGGAAUUCCGCGUGUAGCAGUGAAAUGCGUAGAUAUGCGGAGGAACACCGAUGGCGAAGGCAGUCCCCUGGGCCUGUACUGACGCUCAUGCACGAAAGCGUGGGGAGCAAACAGGAUUAGAUACCCGGGUAGUC